AUCACUUCUUGGCCUUUUGGUUAAGAACAAGUAUA
RNAcentral lists this small nuclear RNA (35 nucleotides) under Cervus elaphus hippelaphus. The record is from RNAcentral. Lineage: Eukaryota; Metazoa; Chordata; Mammalia; Artiodactyla; Cervidae.